CUACGGGUGGUACCAGUGGGGAAUAUUGCACAAUGGGGGAAACCCUGAUGCAGCAACGCCGCGUGGAGGAUGACGCAUUUCGGUGUGUAAACUCCUUUUAUAUAGGAAGAUAAUGACGGUACUAUAUGAAUAAGCACCGGCUAACUCCGUGCCAGCAGCCGCGGUAAUACGGAGGGUGCAAGCGUUACUCGGAAUCACUGGGCGUAAAGCGCGCGCAGGCGGCCUUUUAAGUUGGAUGUGAAAGCCUAUGGCUUAACCAUAGAACUGCAUCCAAAACUAUCAGGCUAGAGUCUGGGAGGGGAAAAUGGAAUUAGUUGUGUAGGGGUAAAAUCCGUAGAGAUAACUAGGAAUACCAAAAGCGAAGGCGAUCUUCUGGAACAGUACUGACGCUGAGGCGCGAAAGCGUGGGGAGCAAACAGGAUUAGAUACCCUCGUAGUC
This 439-nucleotide ribosomal RNA is filed under the name uncultured bacterium. Its description in RNAcentral is "partial 16S ribosomal RNA". It matches the Rfam family "Bacterial small subunit ribosomal RNA", at positions 339 to 795 of the family's 1533-position model. The record is from RNAcentral.